AAACAACCCUCUAUGUAUUGGAUCUUUGGCAGUUUUGGCCCCCAAUGCCACUUUAGACUUAGUCUUCGCUGACUUGGCACCCACAUCCCUUAAGUGAGGUGCCACAUGUCGACCAUUGUGGGUGCCACAUCAGCAAAGACUAAGUCAAAAGUGGUCUUGGGGGCCAAAGCUGUCAAAGAUCCAAUACAUAAGGGGGCUGUUU
This is a microRNA precursor of Medicago truncatula (barrel medic), 202 nucleotides long. It matches the Rfam family "MIR2619 microRNA precursor family". NCBI's taxonomy places the organism in Eukaryota, Viridiplantae, Streptophyta, Magnoliopsida, Fabales, Fabaceae. The record is from Rfam.